Molecule: ribosomal RNA, 497 nt
Filed under: uncultured bacterium
Lineage: Bacteria
Description: partial 16S ribosomal RNA
Rfam family: Bacterial small subunit ribosomal RNA
Source: RNAcentral
GAUGAACGCUGGCGGCGUGCCUAAUACAUGCAAGUCGAGCGAACAGACGAGGAGCUUGCUCCUCUGACGUUAGCGGCGGGCGGGUGAGUAACACGUGGAUAACCUACCUAUAAGACUGGGAUAACUUCGGGAAACCGGAGCUAAUACCGGAUAAUAUAUUGAACCGCAUGGUUCAAUAGUGAAAGACGGUUUUGCUGUCACUUAUAGAUGGAUCCGCGCCGCAUUAGCUAGUUGGUAAGGUAACAGCUUACCAAGGCAACGAUGCGUAGCCGACCUGAGAGGGUGAUCGGCCACACUGGAACUGAGACACGGUCUAGACUCCUACGGGAGGCAGCAGUAGGGAAUCUUCCGCAAUGGGCGAAAGCCUGACGGAGCAACGCCGCGUGAGUGAUGAAGGUCUUCGGAUCGUAAAACUCUGUUAUUAGGGAAGAACAAAUGUGUAAGUAACUAUGCACGUCUUGACGGUACCUAAUCAGAAAGCCACGGCUAACUACGUG